ACGCGAAGAACCUUACCUGGGCUCGAAAUGCAGAUGACAACUGAUGAAAGUCGGCUCCCGCAAGGGCGUCUGUAUAGGUGCUGCAUGGCUGUCGUCAGCUCGUGUCGUGAGAUGUUGAGAUAAAAAAACGCAACGAGCGCAACCCUCGUCCUCUGUUGCCAUCAGGUCAAGCUGGGCACUCUGAGGAGACUGCCGGUGAUAAACCGGAGGAAGGUGGGGAUGACGUCAAGUCAGCAUGGCCUUUAUGUCCAGGGCCACACACGUGCUACAAUGGCGGAUACAAAGCGCUGCAAACCCGCGAGGGUGAGCCAAUCGCAUAAAGUCCGUCUCAGUUCGGAUCGUCUGUUUCGACUUUUGACUGCGUGAAGUUGGAAUCGCUAGUAAUCGCGGAUCAGCAUGCCGCGGUGAA
RNAcentral lists this ribosomal RNA (409 nucleotides) under uncultured Acidobacteriota bacterium. RNAcentral describes it as "bacterial SSU rRNA". It matches the Rfam family "Bacterial small subunit ribosomal RNA", at positions 959 to 1366 of the family's 1533-position model. The record is from RNAcentral. Lineage: Bacteria; Pseudomonadati; Acidobacteriota.